UGCCUUAAAAUUAAAAGUGGAAAAGAAGGACGUCGAAAUGGGAAUAUGGGCGAUGCAGGCACAAAUAUGGAGAUUUGUCUGUUUGGUGUCGACUGUAAUAGGACUAGUCUGUUAUGCUAUCAGCUCCUCCUUCAACCUUUCUAUUUGGAAAGUGGAACCUGCUAAAAAUACUGUCUUACAGUCACAAUCUGCUUAGCGGUUUGGUUUGCUAAGGUAUGCCAACAUUCACACUCAACAAAUCUCAUGUGCAAAGCUCAUCUGUCAGUUGUAAUUUCGUUUCAUUUGCUAUGAUGUCUCUCAGCUUGUCCAGACAGACUCACCUGGGAUUUGAAGUGGAUCUCUUGUAUUUCUUCCUAGGUGGUUUUAUCUUACAACUCGUGAAGAUCAAAUUGUUGUUAGGCAUUGUUGGACACAUGCAUUGAACAGAAUCCGAUGCAAAGAUUGGGGGCAUACAUGUUUGAAGCACUUGUUGCACGAUUGGCUAACACAGGGACUACAAUCUACAAAGCUUUGAAGUGCUACGAAGCAGCAAAUGCGGAGGGCCUCUCCAGUUACAUGCACAUGCUUCAUCAAAUUAGGAUACACAUGUGCAAAUAGAGCCAUUGCACAAGCUGAGUAGGAGUGCUCAAGAUUUGGGUAUUUACUAGCAUUAAGAGAGAUUUGGUUGCUUCUAGCGCAUGGACCGUGUUAAAUGAGUGACAAGAUUAGAACCGGGCUUUAGAAGGAGGACAAAUUAAGCACAACCUGUCAUUGUUCUAAUUCUAAUAUUUUCUUUUCCAUUAAUAUGGAAAAGGCUGCAAUAAAUAUGUUCAGAAGCUUCUCCGGUGA
Molecule: long non-coding RNA, 828 nt
Organism: Glycine soja
Lineage: Eukaryota; Viridiplantae; Streptophyta; Magnoliopsida; Fabales; Fabaceae
Exons: 2
Source: RefSeq, a predicted model, not a curated record